RNAcentral lists this ribosomal RNA (459 nucleotides) under uncultured bacterium. Its description in RNAcentral is "partial 16S ribosomal RNA". It matches the Rfam family "Bacterial small subunit ribosomal RNA", at positions 338 to 795 of the family's 1533-position model. The record is from RNAcentral.
CCUACGGGAGGCAGCAGUGAGGAAUAUUGGUCAAUGGACGAGAGUCUGAACCAGCCAAGUAGCGUGAAGGAUGACUGCCCUAUGGGUUGUAAGCUUCUUUUAUAUGGGAAUAAAAUGUUCAACGUGUGGGAUUUUGUAUGUACCCUAUGAAAAAGCAUCGACUAACUCGGUGCCAGCAGCCGCGGUAAUACGGAGGAUGCGAGGGUUAUCCGAAUUUAUUGGGUUUAAGGGGUGCGCAGGCGGUCUGUUACGUCAGCGGUAAAAGCCCGGGGCUCACCCCCGGCCCGCCGUUGAAACUGGCAGUCUCGAGUUGGAGAGAAGUAUGCGGAAUGCGCGGUGUAGCGGUGAAAUGCAUAGAUAUCGCGCAGAACUCCGAUUGCGAAGGCAGCAUGCCGGCUCCACACUGACGCUGAGGCACGAAAGCGUGGGUAUCGAACAGGAUUAGAUACCCCAGUAGUC